Molecule: ribosomal RNA, 433 nt
Filed under: uncultured bacterium
Lineage: Bacteria
Description: partial 16S ribosomal RNA
Rfam family: Bacterial small subunit ribosomal RNA
Source: RNAcentral
AACGAACGCUGGCGGCAUGCCUAACACAUGCAAGUCGAACGAGACCUUCGGGUCUAGUGGCGCACGGGUGCGUAACGCGUGGGAACCUGCCCUUAGGUUCGGAAUAACUCCCCGAAAGGGGUGCUAAUACCGGAUAAUGUCUUCGGACCAAAGAUUUAUCGCCGUUGGAUGGGCCCGCGUUGGAUUAGCUAGUUGGUAGGGUAAAAGCCUGCCAAGGCGACGAUCCAUAGCUGGUCUGAGAGGAUGAUCAGCCAGACUGGGACUGAGACACGGCCCAGAACCCUACGGGAGGCAGCAGUAGGGAAUAUUGGACACUGGGCGAAAGCCUGAUACAGCCACGCCGCGUGAGUGAUGAAGGCCUUAGGGUUGUAAAGCUCUUUUACACGGGAUGAUAAUGACAGUACCGGGAGAAUAAGCUCCGGCUAACUCCGUG